This 224-nucleotide ribosomal RNA is filed under the name uncultured bacterium. Its description in RNAcentral is "partial 16S ribosomal RNA". It matches the Rfam family "Bacterial small subunit ribosomal RNA", at positions 92 to 334 of the family's 1533-position model. The record is from RNAcentral.
UUAGUGGCGGACGGGUGAGUAACGCGUGAGAAUCUGGCUUUAGGUUCGGGACAACCACUGGAAACGGUGGCUAAUACCGGAUGUGCCGAAAGGUAAAAGGUUAACCGCCUGAAGAUGAGCUCGCGUCUGAUUAGCUAGUUGGUGUGGUAAGAGCGCACCAAGGCGACGAUCAGUAGCUGGUCUGAGAGGAUGAUCAGCCACACUGGGACUGAGACACGGCCCAG